GGGCCUGCGUUUCAUUAGCUAGUUGGUAGGGUAAUGGCCUACCAAGGCAAAGACGGGUAGCUGGUCUGAGAGGAUGAUCAGCCACACUGGAACUGAGACACGGUCCAGACUCCUACGGGAGGCAGCAGUGGGGAAUCUUGCGCAAUGGGCGAAAGCCUGACGCAGCGACGCCGCGUGGGUGAUGAAGGCCUUCGGGUCGUAAACCUCUGUCGGGAGGGACGAAAGGUCGGCGGUCGAAUAGGCCGAAGGCUUGACGGUACCUCUAGAGGAAGCGCCGGCUAACUCCGUGCCAGCAGCCGCGGUAAUA
RNAcentral lists this ribosomal RNA (307 nucleotides) under uncultured delta proteobacterium. Its description in RNAcentral is "bacterial SSU rRNA". It matches the Rfam family "Bacterial small subunit ribosomal RNA", at positions 227 to 525 of the family's 1533-position model. Lineage: Bacteria; Deltaproteobacteria. The record is from RNAcentral.